AGCGAACGCUGGCGGCAGGCUUAACACAUGCAAGUCGAGCGGGCACUUCGGUGUCAGCGGCAGACGGGUGAGUAACACGUGGGAACGUGCCCUUCGGUUCGGAAUAACUCAGGGAAACUUGAGCUAAUACCGGAUACGCCCUUUUGGGGAAAGGUUUACUGCCGAAGGAUCGGCCCGCGUCUGAUUAGCUAGUUGGUGGGGUAAUGGCCUACCAAGGCGACGAUCAGUAGCUGGUCUGAGAGGAUGAUCAGCCACACUGGGACUGAGACACGGCCCAGACUCCUACGGGAGGCAGCAGUGGGGAAUAUUGGACAAUGGGCGCAAGCCUGAUCCAGCCAUGCCGCGUGAGUGAUGAAGGCCUUAGGUUGUAAAGCUCUUUUGUCCGGGACGAUAAUGACGGUACGGAAGAAUAAG
RNAcentral lists this ribosomal RNA (414 nucleotides) under uncultured bacterium. Its description in RNAcentral is "bacterial SSU rRNA". It matches the Rfam family "Bacterial small subunit ribosomal RNA", at positions 29 to 490 of the family's 1533-position model. The record is from RNAcentral.